AACGCACCUUGCGCUCCUUGGUAUUCCGAGGAGCAUGCCUGUUUGAGUGUCAUUAAUAUAUCAACCUCUUCAGCUUUUGGUUGUUGAGUGUUUGGAUGUGGGGGGUUGUUUGCUGGUCUCUAGGAGGUCAGCUCCCCUAAAAUGCAUUAGCGAAACAAUUUGUUGAUCGUUCAUUGGUGUGAUAACUAUCUACGCUAUUGACGUGAGGCAGUUUAGCUUCUAACAGUCCAUUGUCUUGGACAAUUUUUUUCAUUAAUGUGACCUCAAAUCAGGUAGGACUACCCGCUGAACUUAA
This 295-nucleotide unclassified non-coding RNA is filed under the name uncultured Cortinarius. Its description in RNAcentral is "sequence contains ITS2". The stretch from base 1 to 52 matches the Rfam family "5.8S ribosomal RNA", at positions 103 to 154 of the family's 154-position model. Lineage: Eukaryota; Fungi; Basidiomycota; Agaricomycetes; Agaricales; Cortinariaceae. The record is from RNAcentral.